UAGAUGCGAGAGUAGAGCAUAUCAAUAAGCGGAGGAAAAGGCUGCUGAACUGAACGACCGCUACCUACGCUUAGGAUGUUGACGCGCGUGUGUGCGUGAGUCUAUACAUGACUCUGUGCAUAUCAAUAAGCGGAGGAAAAGAAACUAACAAGGAUUCCCUUAGUAACGGGGAGUGAAGCGGGAAGAGCUCAAAUUUGAAAUCUUCAAGGUUCUACCUUGACGAAUUGUAGUUUAAAGAAGUGUUUUCUGUUAGAUGAGUAGCAAAAGUUCCUUGGAAUGGGACAUCAUAGAGGGUGAGAAUCCCGUAUUUGGUUAUUCAUUCUAGCUUUGUGAUACACUUUCAAAGAGUCGGAUUGUUUGGGAAUGCAGUCCAAAAUGGGUGGUAAAUUUCAUCUAAAGCUAAAUAUUGGCGAGAGACCGAUAGCGAACAAGUACCGUGAGGGAAAGAUGAAAAGAACUUUGAAAAGAGAGUUAAACAGUACGUGAAAUUGUCAAAAGGGAAGCGUUUGGACACCAGUGUUGUUUUUCCGAAAAUCAAUUACGAAUGGCUUGAUUUUGUGUUGUAUUGACCUUAUCAGCUUUCUUCACUUUUUUCGAGUCUUUCUUAAUGCACUUUUCGGUUAACAAGUCAACAUCAAUUUCUUUUGUUGUAAAAGAGUAUUCGGAAGGUGGCUUUCUUUCGGAGAAAGUGUUUAUAGCCCUAUACUUCUACAAUCGGAGAGAUUGAGGUCUGCAGCGUAGAUCCUUCGGGGUUAGAUACAUUUGUGCUAAGUUGUAGCUUUUCAUAGACAACUUGUUGACUAUGUUUAGUCAUGCGGCUUACUCGCUUGUGCUAUUUUACCUACGCUUAGGAUGUUGAGCGCAUGUCUCUCUCU
This 875-nucleotide ribosomal RNA is filed under the name uncultured Neocallimastigales. Its description in RNAcentral is "partial large subunit ribosomal RNA". It matches the Rfam family "Eukaryotic large subunit ribosomal RNA", at positions 1 to 645 of the family's 3401-position model. The record is from RNAcentral. Lineage: Eukaryota; Fungi; Neocallimastigomycota; Neocallimastigomycetes; Neocallimastigales.